This 497-nucleotide ribosomal RNA is filed under the name uncultured bacterium. Its description in RNAcentral is "partial 16S ribosomal RNA". It matches the Rfam family "Bacterial small subunit ribosomal RNA", at positions 28 to 507 of the family's 1533-position model. The record is from RNAcentral.
GAUGAACGCUGGCGGCGUGCCUAAUACAUGCAAGUCGAGCGAACAGACGAGGAGCUUGCUCCUCUGACGUUAGCGGCGGACGGGUGAGUAACACGUGGAUAACCUACCUAUAAGACUGGGAUAACUUCGGGAAACCGGAGCUAAUACCGGAUAAUAUAUUGAACCGCAUGGUUCAAUAGUGAAAGACGGUUUUGCUGUCACUUAUAGAUGGAUCCGCGCCGCAUUAGCUAGUUGGUAAGGUAACGGCUUACCAAGGCAACGAUGCGUAGCCGACCUGAGAGGGGGACCGGCAACAUGGGACGGGAACCGGGUUCAAGCCCCCUAGGGGAGGCAGCAGGGGGGAAUCUUCGGAAAGGGGCAAAGGCCGGAGGGAGCAACCCGGGGGGGGGGAGAAAGGUCUUCGGAUCGAAAACCUGUUUUAUGGGGGAAAAAAAAAUGUGAAAUGAAAUAUGCGCGUCUGGACGUUACCUAAUAAGAAAGCCAGGGCUAACUACGUG